Molecule: ribosomal RNA, 253 nt
Filed under: uncultured bacterium
Lineage: Bacteria
Description: partial 16S ribosomal RNA
Rfam family: Bacterial small subunit ribosomal RNA
Source: RNAcentral
UACGUAGGGGGCAAGCGUUGUCCGGAAUCAUUGGGCGUAAAGAGCGUGUAGGCGGCUCGAUAAGUCUGCUGUGAAAGUCCAGGGCUCAACCCUGGAAGGCCGGUGGAAACUGUCGGGCUAGAGUCCGGAAGAGGCGAGUGGAAUUCCCGGUGUAGCGGUGAAAUGCGCAGAUAUCGGGAGGAACACCAAUGGCGAAGGCAGCUCGCUGGGACGGUACUGACGCUGAGGAGCGAAAGCGUGGGGAGCGAACAGG